Non-coding RNA from Oncorhynchus mykiss (rainbow trout), 1763 nucleotides. Lineage: Eukaryota; Metazoa; Chordata; Actinopteri; Salmoniformes; Salmonidae. The record is from RefSeq and is a predicted model, not a curated record.
UAUUGUCUUCCGCAUUCAGUCAAUUUCAUAAUGAUCCCUUGCAUAGCAGGUCGUACCAGAGUUACCUGGUCAGGCGCAACAAUAGUAGUGAAACGAUGACUACGAUAGUUUGAUAUGGGUUUUCUUUCCAUCUUUUACCGGAACAGUUCAACAGCCGACGAAGAUUGGAAUACUUUGAUGCGCUCAAAGGCCCUAAGCAGAACCCCUGGGCUAGUUUGAUGACAAGCUAGGCUAGAAGAUGAGGAGGAGUCUAAAUGACUGUUUCGUCUUUGACGUAUUGACCCGUCUACUGUUGUUUGCAGUCUUCUGUGUGACGGAGGUGCUACCUCCUUUCUCUCGUGAGAUCCAGCCAGAGGAGAUGUGGCUCUACAAGUUCCACCAUGUGGAGAAUGACCACGUUCCUACCAAACUCAUGUUUAGCAUAGCACUUUUCACCCCUAUGGCUGUCAUCAUGUUGUUUGCCUUCCUGAACAAGACAGAGAAGAGGGACAUUAAGGAGGCCUCUCUGGCUGUGACUUUGACUCUGGUACUCAAUGGGGUUUUCACCAACGCUAUCAAAUUGGCAGUGGGCAGGCCGCGGCCAGAUUUCUUCUACCGCUGUUUCCCUGAUGGUCAGAUGAACACGGAGCUGCAAUGCAGUGGAGAUCCCGACACUGUAGAGGAGGGGAGGAAGAGCUUCCCUAGCGGACACUCCUCAUGUGAGAGCAUACCUCAGUUGCCUUUGCUGGUCUGGGCUUCACUGCUCUGUAUGUGGCGGGGAAACUGCACUGCUUUAGUCCUGCAGGACAGGGCAAAGCCUGGCGACUCUGUGCCUUCCUCGCCCCUCUCCUCUUUGCCAUCCUCAUCGCCAUGUCCAGGACCUGCGACUACAAGCAUCACUGGCAAGAUGUCCUGGUGGGCUCCCUGCUGGGGUUGGUGUUUGCCUGUCUGGGCUACUGGCAGCACUACCCGUCUCUCAGUGACUCAGACAGCCACAGGCCCCUGCUGCACAGAGAAGUAGUCCCGGCGGCACAGGAGCGCAAGCAGCAGGAGCAGCAGUCCCAGCAAGCCAACUCAGGAUACCUUCUGCCUCUGUAAGGAGCCCCAGGCCUGCUUCUGUACUGGGUGCAUCCCCAUAAUCUCUCCUUCUUCCUGUAGUGUGCACUUUGUAAUAAUCCCCACGCAUGUAAAAGCAUUGGAUUGGUGUAUGUGUUAGAGUUCCAUGUACCAGUAAUUUCCUUUCAAAUCCAUGAAGGGAAGUGAACAAGUGCACACUUUGGAAGAAAGGAGAGGUUAUUGGGACGCAACCUCUCAUUUUACUUUCAAAGCCUUGUGAUUGCAGAUCCAGACCUCCACUGUGGAAAAACAAACAAACAAACAAACAACUUUAGUUGGAGAGGAGUGGUACCAAGUAGUCUGCUCCUCACUCAAUCAGUGCUGUCUGUUGGUCUAUUCCAAGAAGAUAAACAGUACUACUGUAAUAACAGCGUUGCAUUCCCAGGCUGUCAUGCUAAUAUCAAUGUUUCUAAUCUUUGAAGGACCAAUUGUAUAGAAGUGAAAGGACCUCCACGGUUACGUUGGAUCACAAGUAAGGGGACAUGCUAGCAAUCUCGGUUUUAUAAAUCUAUGACUAAUCCAAAUCUAAUUAGAAAAUUAAUGAAUCAUAUGGAGUCUUUCUCGAUCACUUAAGAUGCCAAAAUUCUCCUUUUUUAAUGCACUUACAGAUACUGUAUGUAUAGUACGUUGUUUACAAUACUGUGCCAAUAAAGUUUGUUACCAGGGAA